This is a regulatory RNA element of 109 nucleotides. It matches the Rfam family "PyrR binding site". From Rfam's summary of the family: This family represents the PyrR binding site and terminator structure. This RNA structure is found upstream of a variety of genes involved in pyrimidine biosynthesis and transport. The record is from Rfam.
AGGACCUUUAAAUUAACCCCGUGAGGUUAAGAAGGAAUCGGUGAACCUAAGUUUAACUUGGGAGAAUCUGCAACCUCUUUACCCAACGGCGGUAAAGAGGUUUUUUAAU